AAAAAAAAAAAAAAACCGCGUCGCCGCAUCAAUUCCGGAACUUCGGUCUGAACAGAGACCGACUAUUUUUUUGUGUGGCUUAACACUUGCAUUUGGCAUGAGAAAACAAGAUGCCAAAAUGACUCCCUAAAAUCCAUACUUUAAACGCCCAGAACAGGUUUUUGACAAAAAGUACAUUUAACCUCAUUCCAUCUCACUGGCACACCACUCAAAUGAAAGGUCUUGUUGUCCCCUUUAAUUUGAGACCACAGUGGAGGUUGUGACGCUUGUAGUUCUGAUGAAGAUUUCGUAAAAUGUUCCACUUUUCAACCCAUGUCCACUUUUGCGUGGCAUAAUCAUGAUAAUUGGUAAGAUCUGAUUUGAGGCUUUUUUAGUGGCAAAGAGCACAACUGGGAAAAAGUUUGAAUGUGAAGCGACCAUCGCAAAAAAAGUGAGCGGCAAUUACCGACACACCAACCAGAGGUUGUUAAGUUGAUGUUGGCGCUUUUGGACGGAAUAUGAUAGUUUGGAAAAUGUGAUUCAGACAAUUCUUGAUACAAGCGUGGUCACUUUUGUUUGUUGUUACAGACGUGACCAAGACAAACCGCCAUCUUGAAAAUGUGUAUAACAGACUCAACACAGCGAUACACAAUGUUCUUGUUAGGGCGUCCUCUUCUUUUUCUACAGACUCUUUGUAUACAUGUACGCAAAACUAUUUUAUAUACUUGAUGUCAACCUUAUCGAUUUUCGUGCACUCCUCCCCUUUUAUAGUAUUCGUCCUUUCACUCCGUCACACAUCGUUCAAAUCAUGUGAAAUUCAGCCUCCAUCACUAGAUUAUCAUUCAUGAUGCGACAUGUUACCCCACCAAUUUCUGUCACGUGACCAGUCAUGUGACAUAUGCCACCAGUCAUGUGAGUCAUUAACCUGGUUUUUUUUUUACAUCGUAAUUACUUUGGUUUAUUCAUGCCGACAUUAAUAAUAAUAAUAAUAAUAAUAAUAACGAAGUCUUAUAUAGCGCACGCAUCUACCAACAGUUAGGUACUCAAAGCGCUGGUAAUUAUGUCUAUUUUGAAAGACAGGUAAUUGAAGUUUCUGAGAAAUAUGAGACCCAUUAUGUAGCACCUUUUUAAGGGUUAAUUUUAAGGGUUUACAAGGUAAUUGAAUGUAUACAUUAUAAGUAGUAAAAUUAAUGUGCAAGGAAAAAUAAGUCAUAAAUUAAAUUUGGAUGAACUUAUUUUAAGAUGGAUUCACUGAAGCGUCAGCAUAGGGGUCAGGAGAAGCCAAGGGCUUUUAUUCCUUCCCCUAUCCCAUUUCCUAUAUCCCCCGUAUUAUAGUCACAACCUUGCUGCAUUAUUUAAGUUGCGACUUGCCAAAAA
Long non-coding RNA from Patiria miniata (bat star), 1356 nucleotides. RefSeq lists it as uncharacterized. The record is from RefSeq and is a predicted model, not a curated record. The transcript is spliced from 2 exons. Lineage: Eukaryota; Metazoa; Echinodermata; Asteroidea; Valvatida; Asterinidae.